RNAcentral lists this ribosomal RNA (440 nucleotides) under uncultured bacterium. Its description in RNAcentral is "partial 16S ribosomal RNA". It matches the Rfam family "Bacterial small subunit ribosomal RNA", at positions 338 to 795 of the family's 1533-position model. The record is from RNAcentral.
CCUACGGGUGGCUGCAGUGGGGGAUAUUGCACAAUGGGGGGAACCCUGAUGCAGCGACGCCGCGUGGGUGAUGAAGUGUUUCGGCGCGUAAAGCUCUAUCAGCAGGGAAGAAGAUGACGGUACCUGACCAAGAAGCCCCGGCUAACUACGUGCCAGCAGCCGCGGUAAUACGUAGGGGGCAAGCGUUAUCCGGAUUUACUGGGUGUAAAGGGGGCGCAGACGGCGGUGCAAGCCAGGUGUGAAAGUCCGGGGCUCAACCCCGGGACUGCUUUUGGAACUGCAUGGCUGGAGUGCAGGAGAGGCAGGCGGAAUUCCUAGUGUAGCGGUGAAAUGCGUAGAUAUUAGGAGGAACACCAGUGGCGAAGGCGGCCUGCUGGACGAUGACUGACGUUGAGGCCCGAAGGCGUGGGGAGCAAACAGGAUUAGAUACCCGUGUAGUC